CUGAUACUGGCAAGCUUGAGUCUCGUAGAGGGGGGUAGAAUUCCAGGUGUAGCGGUGAAAUGCGUAGAGAUCUGGAGGAAUACCGGUGGCGAAGGCGGCCCCCUGGACGAAGACUGACGCUCAGGUGCGAAAGCGUGGGGAGCAAACAGGAUUAGAUACCCUGGUAGUCCACGCCGUAAACGAUGUCGACUUGGAGGUUGUGCCCUUGAGGCGUGGCUUCCGGAGCUAACGCGUUAAGUCGACCGCCUGGGGAGUACGGCCGCAAGGUUAAAACUCAAAUGAAUUGACGGGGGCCCGCACAAGCGGUGGAGCAUGUGGUUUAAUUCGAUGCAACGCGAAGAACCUUACCUGGUCUUGACAUCCACAGAACUUUCCAGAGAUGGAUUGGUGCCUUCGGGAAC
This 401-nucleotide ribosomal RNA is filed under the name Escherichia coli. RNAcentral's name for it is "bacterial SSU rRNA". It matches the Rfam family "Bacterial small subunit ribosomal RNA", at positions 627 to 1027 of the family's 1533-position model. The record is from RNAcentral. Lineage: Bacteria; Pseudomonadati; Pseudomonadota; Gammaproteobacteria; Enterobacterales; Enterobacteriaceae.